UGGAAUGCCCCUGAGGACACUGUUCUCAUUU
RNAcentral lists this non-coding RNA (31 nucleotides) under Rattus norvegicus (Norway rat). The record is from RNAcentral. Lineage: Eukaryota; Metazoa; Chordata; Mammalia; Rodentia; Muridae.